RNAcentral lists this long non-coding RNA (496 nucleotides) under Zonotrichia albicollis (white-throated sparrow). RNAcentral describes it as "lncRNA (ENSZALG00000012028.1)". Lineage: Eukaryota; Metazoa; Chordata; Aves; Passeriformes; Passerellidae. The record is from RNAcentral.
UCCCAUACUGGAACACAGUCCCUAGUGGUUUUCAAGCUAUAAACUGAGUAAACAGUCCCUUUCUUAUUGAGUGUCUGUGUGAGUGCAUGUUGUUUCUGGAAUACAUCAUAUUCAUUUGCAGAAACCCUGUGUAUGGAUCUUUAACACUUUUUCCCCCUUUUUUUUUUUUUUUCCAAGGUACCUAAAAUAAUGGCUUUUUAAGACAGUAAUAAAGCCAUGUAACUUGUGGGGAAAAGCACACUGUGGCUCACAAUCUGAAUUAAACGUGUGUCAUUGGGGCCUUUGAUCCUGGCUCUCCAGUCGUGGGAACCAGGAGAAGUCAUCUCCUGUGAACUGUGAGUAGGAAGCUGCGAGGGAAUCAGCAGAUGAGUUUGAAGGAGCAUGAUGGAUGGAAUCAGGCCAUUCUGAGCACCAUAAAAAACUUGUUUUAGCGUUGCUGCGGGGGAAAUCUUCUACCUUCAAGAAACCUGAUAUUUUGGACCAGAUCCCUGUCUGA